Molecule: long non-coding RNA, 952 nt
Organism: Bubalus bubalis (water buffalo)
Lineage: Eukaryota; Metazoa; Chordata; Mammalia; Artiodactyla; Bovidae
Exons: 3
Source: RefSeq, a predicted model, not a curated record
CACAGGUAGUCCAGGUGCCUGCUGUUAUUUAUAAUAAAGGCAAGCGCAGCAGAAGCACCGGACGGUGGCCCUGGAGGCCGGCAGAGGAGGCCUGAGCAGUGUCAUCUCUGAAGGACAGUUAAAAGUGGACUCUCCCCCUUCACUGUGUUCUUUAUCAUAUUGAAGAAAUUUGUGGUUAACUGAAAGUUUUUAUUAUGACUGAGUGCUGUAUUAGAAAAAAGAUGAAGGAAAGAAAAUUAAGGAAAAGAAGAAAACAAGCAAAAAUGCUCAACAAAGAUGUCAUGGCAUAAUAGUCCAUUAUGCCUCCAAUUGAGCCGUCAUGAACUAUCAAAGAAAUAAUUGCACAAUAGACCAUAAUGGCUUAAUCGUGUCAACAUCUUUGCCAUUUACAUAUUUUUUUAAUCAAUGGAAAUUAAGUACAAAAAUGAGUCUUUGGAUUUCCAUCCUGAUUUUACCUUUGUGUUUGGGGGUGGGGCGAGGCUUGGGUUCUCCCCGCCACCUUCAAGGGACUUCACCGGAUGUAUCUGUUGCUGGCUUGGUUGGCAGGCCCUGGAAGGGCACUGGAGGGGCCCAGACAACCAUGCUGCUGGGGCCAGAGGAUGCAACACUGUGCCUUGCUGGUCCCUGUGGCAGAGUCAACAGUGGGAAGCUUUGGUGUUGUCCAGGUCCUGGCAUGGAUUGACCUCCAACCUUCUGCAGGAACACAGGCUCGUUCUCUCUCACUCACACCUGCCUUUCUGGUCCCAGCCAUUUGUCAUGCUUGCAAAUAUAUCCAUAAGUAAGGCACUUCACUCCAAAGAGAAAACCAACCAUUUAAGUGGCUUCACCUCUGAACCACUCACCAUCACCGUGGCCCACACUUGAUUUUAUUGUGGCUCCUCCCACUCAGGGUUUGACUACUAUAGCUCAAUGGCCUGCUGGGGUGAAAAACAAUAGUACCAGCUGAUCUGCC